Molecule: transfer RNA, 75 nt
Filed under: Schistocerca americana (American grasshopper)
Lineage: Eukaryota; Metazoa; Arthropoda; Insecta; Orthoptera; Acrididae
Also listed under: 2 other names
Description: tRNA-Thr
Rfam family: tRNA
About the family: Transfer RNA (tRNA) molecules are approximately 80 nucleotides in length. Their secondary structure includes four short double-helical elements and three loops (D, anti-codon, and T loops).
Source: RNAcentral
GCCCGCGGUGGCUCAGAUGGAUAGAGCGUCUGCCAUGUAAGCAGGAGAUCGCGGGUUCGAGUCCCGGUCGGGGCA